CGAGUAAGCCAGAUGGUCGCGUACAAUAUGUACGAGGAAAGUCCGAGCUCCAUAGGGCAAGGUGCCGGGUAAUACCCGGUGGAGGUGACUCCAAGGAAAGUGCAACAGAGAUAUACCGCCUGCUAUUUAUUUUGAUAUGAAUUGCAAUUUUAUUAAGUACGUUAUACAUAUCGAAAUAAGUAGCGGGUAAGGGUGGAAAGGCGAGGUAAGAGCUCACCAGCAUCCAGGCGACUGGAAUGCUCUGUAAACCCCACCUGGAGCAAGGUAAAAUAGGAGGGAAUAAUAAGUGGCCCGCUUAACCCUCGGGUAAAACCGCUAGAGGUAUCAGGCAACUGAUAUCGUAGAUAGAUGACCAUCUAAAACAGAACUCGGCUUAUAGACUUGCUCGUAAU
This 392-nucleotide RNase P RNA is filed under the name Thermoanaerobacterium thermosaccharolyticum. RNAcentral's name for it is "RNase P RNA component class A". It matches the Rfam family "Bacterial RNase P class A". Rfam says of the family: Ribonuclease P (RNase P) is a ubiquitous endoribonuclease, found in archaea, bacteria and eukarya as well as chloroplasts and mitochondria. The record is from RNAcentral. Lineage: Bacteria; Bacillati; Bacillota; Clostridia; Thermoanaerobacterales; Thermoanaerobacteraceae. RNAcentral also lists the same sequence under 1 other name.